Non-coding RNA from Picea glauca (white spruce), 1774 nucleotides. The record is from Rfam. NCBI's taxonomy places the organism in Eukaryota, Viridiplantae, Streptophyta, Pinopsida, Pinales, Pinaceae.
AAAAACAAGAGUUUGAUCCUGGCUCAGAACGAACGCUAGCUAUAUGCUUAACACAUGCAAGUCGAACAUGGCUUGCUUCCCUAUCCAUCCACGUGGGGGCAGAAGGGCAAGAGGAAUGGCCCCCUCCUAGCGCGUUCUCACUCACUCAAAUGAUAUGCAAGUUGUGCGCCGAGCGUGGGGCAUAGCAGGAAAAGUGGCGAAUGGGUGCGUAACGUGUGGGAAUUUGCCGAACAGGUCACUCCAAAUCCUGAAUAAUUUAUAAAGCAAGCUAAUUCGCGUUGUUUGAUGAGCCCGCGUAGCAUCAGGUAGUUGGUUAGGUAAAGGCUGACCAAGCCAAUGAUGCUUAGCUGGUCUUUUCAGAUGAUCACCCACACUGGGACUGAGACACGGCCCAAACUCCCUCGGGGGGCAGCAGUGGGGAAUAUUGGACAAUGGGCUCACGCCCAAUCUAGCAAUAUUGCGUGGGUGAAGAAGGGCACUGUCGCUUGUCAAGCUCUUUUGUCGAGUUUCGAUCAUGACAGGACUCAAGGAAGAAUCCCUGGCUAACUCCGUGCCAGCAGUCGCGGUAAGACGGGGGGCAAGUGUUAUUCGGAAUGACUGGGCGUAAAGGGCACGUAGGCGGUGAAAAGGGUGGAAAGUGAAAGUCGCUAAAGCACUGGCGAGGUGAUUUCUUUACCAUUUCACUUGAGUGAGAUAGGGGAGAGUGGAAUUUCAUGUGGAGGGAUCAAAUCCUAAGAUAUAUGAAGGAACGCCAACCGCGAAGGCAACUCUCUGGGUCCCCACUGACGCUGGGGUGCGAAAGCAUGGGGAGCAAACAGGAUCAGAUACCCUAGUAGUCCAUGCCCUAAGCGAUGAGUGUUCUUCCUUGGUUUUCCUGCCUACUAGGUAGGAUUAGGAUCAGGGGCCCAGCUAACACGUGAAACACUCCCCCUGGGGAGUACGGUCGCAAGACUGAAACUCAAAGAAAUUGACGAGGGCCUACACAAGCGGUGGAGCAUGUGGUUUAAUUUGAUACAACGCGUAGAACCUUACCAGCCCUUGACAUAUGAACAAUUGUGCCUGUCCCUAACGGGAUGGUGCGAAAAUUCAUACAGGUGUUGCAUGGUUGUCAGCAACUCGUGUCAUGAGAUGUUUGGUUAAGUCCUAUAACGAGAGAAACCCUCGUUUUGUGUUGCUGAGAAAUGCGCCAACGGAUCAAUGUCAUCGCCCCUUUUCAAUGAAUCAAUAGGGCGAGGGUGAGGAAACAAAACCGCUCGCCCGAUAGAGGAGGGCGAGGCAAGCGCCUCUUUUUGAUUGAUGACACUCCUAUGAAGGUAGGUGUGUGCUCCACUCACAAGAGACUGCUAGUGAUACGCUGGAGGAAGGUGGGGAUGACGUCAAGUCUGCAUGGCCCUUAGGGGUUGGGCCACACACGUGCUACAAUGGAAAUGACAAUGGGAAGCAAGGCCGUAAGGUGGAUCGAAUCCGGAAAGAUUGCCUUAGUUCGGAUUGUUCUCUGCAACUCGAGAACAUGAAGUUGGAAUCGCUAGUAAUCGCGGAUCAACAUGCCGCGGUGAAUAUGUACCCGGGCCCUGUACACACCGCCUGUCACACCCUGGGAGUUGAUUUCACCCAAAGCAUCAAACCAAUGAUGACCCUAUCUAUAUAUGUUCCACUAGUGUGGCCCAUGGAGGUUGGGGUGGUAUUAUUGGCACAUACCACAGUGGAGUCUUCGACUGGGGUGAAGUCCUAACAAGUUAGUUGUAGGGGAACCUGCAACUGGAUCAAAUCCCUA